UUAAGCGACUAAGCGUACACGGUGGAUGCCCUGGCAGUCAGAGGCGAUGAAGGACGUGCUAAUCUGCGAUAAGCGUCGGUAAGGUGAUAUGAACCGUUAUAACCGGCGAUUUCCGAAUGGGGAAACCCAGUGUGAUUCGUCACACUAUCAUUAACUGAAUCCAUAGGUUAAUGAGGCGAACCGGGGGAACUGAAACAUCUAAGUACCCCGAGGAAAAGAAAUCAACCGAGAUUCCCCCAGUAGCGGCGAGCGAACGGGGAGCAGCCCAGAGCCUGAAUCAGUGUGUGUGUUAGUGGAAGCGUCUGGAAAGGCGCGCGAUACAGGGUGACAGCCCCGUACACAAAAAUGCACAUACUGUGAGCUCGAUGAGUAGGGCGGGACACGUGGUAUCCUGUCUGAAUAUGGGGGGACCAUCCUCCAAGGCUAAAUACUCCUGACUGACCGAUAGUGAACCAGUACCGUGAGGGAAAGGCGAAAAGAACCCCGGCGAGGGGAGUGAAAAAGAACCUGAAACCGUGUACGUACAAGCAGUGGGAGCCUCUUUAUGGGGUGACUGCGUACCUUUUGUAUAAUGGGUCAGCGACUUAUAUUCUGUAGCAAGGUUAACCGAAUAGGGGAGCCGAAGGGAAACCGAGUCUUAACUGGGCGUUAAGUUGCAGGGUAUAGACCCGAAACCCGGUGAUCUAGCCAUGGGCAGGUUGAAGGUUGGGUAACACUAACUGGAGGACCGAACCGACUAAUGUUGAAAAAUUAGCGGAUGACUUGUGGCUGGGGGUGAAAGGCCAAUCAAACCGGGAGAUAGCUGGUUCUCCCCGAAAGCUAUUUAGGUAGCGCCUCGUGAAUUCAUCUCCGGGGGUAGAGCACUGUUUCGGCAAGGGGGUCAUCCCGACUUACCAACCCGAUGCAAACUGCGAAUACCGGAGAAUGUUAUCACGGGAGACACACGGCGGGUGCUAACGUCCGUCGUGAAGAGGGAAACAACCCAGACCGCCAGCUAAGGUCCCAAAGUCAUGGUUAAGUGGGAAACGAUGUGGGAAGGCCCAGACAGCCAGGAUGUUGGCUUAGAAGCAGCCAUCAUUUAAAGAAAGCGUAAUAGCUCACUGGUCGAGUCGGCCUGCGCGGAAGAUGUAACGGGGCUAAACCAUGCACCGAAGCUGCGGCAGCGACACUAUGUGUUGUUGGGUAGGGGAGCGUUCUGUAAGCCUGUGAAGGUGGCCUGUGAGGGUUGCUGGAGGUAUCAGAAGUGCGAAUGCUGACAUAAGUAACGAUAAAGCGGGUGAAAAGCCCGCUCGCCGGAAGACCAAGGGUUCCUGUCCAACGUUAAUCGGGGCAGGGUGAGUCGACCCCUAAGGCGAGGCCGAAAGGCGUAGUCGAUGGGAAACAGGUUAAUAUUCCUGUACUUGGUGUUACUGCGAAGGGGGGACGGAGAAGGCUAUGUUGGCCGGGCGACGGUUGUCCCGGUUUAAGCGUGUAGGCUGGUUUUCCAGGCAAAUCCGGAAAACCAAGGCUGAGGCGUGAUGACGAGGCACUACGGUGCUGAAGCAACAAAUGCCCUGCUUCCAGGAAAAGCCUCUAAGCAUCAGGUAACAUCAAAUCGUACCCCAAACCGACACAGGUGGUCAGGUAGAGAAUACCAAGGCGCUUGAGAGAACUCGGGUGAAGGAACUAGGCAAAAUGGUGCCGUAACUUCGGGAGAAGGCACGCUGAUAUGUAGGUGAAGCGACUUGCUCGUGGAGCUGAAAUCAGUCGAAGAUACCAGCUGGCUGCAACUGUUUAUUAAAAACACAGCACUGUGCAAACACGAAAGUGGACGUAUACGGUGUGACGCCUGCCCGGUGCCGGAAGGUUAAUUGAUGGGGUUAGCGGUAACGCGAAGCUCUUGAUCGAAGCCCCGGUAAACGGCGGCCGUAACUAUAACGGUCCUAAGGUAGCGAAAUUCCUUGUCGGGUAAGUUCCGACCUGCACGAAUGGCGUAAUGAUGGCCAGGCUGUCUCCACCCGAGACUCAGUGAAAUUGAACUCGCUGUGAAGAUGCAGUGUACCCGCGGCAAGACGGAAAGACCCCGUGAACCUUUACUAUAGCUUGACACUGAACAUUGAGCCUUGAUGUGUAGGAUAGGUGGGAGGCUUUGAAGUGUGGACGCCAGUCUGCAUGGAGCCGACCUUGAAAUACCACCCUUUAAUGUUUGAUGUUCUAACGUUGGCCCCUGAUCGGGGUUGCGGACAGUGUCUGGUGGGUAGUUUGACUGGGGCGGUCUCCUCCUAAAGAGUAACGGAGGAGCACGAAGGUUGGCUAAUCCUGGUCGGACAUCAGGAGGUUAGUGCAAUGGCAUAAGCCAGCUUGACUGCGAGCGUGACGGCGCGAGCAGGUGCGAAAGCAGGUCAUAGUGAUCCGGUGGUUCUGAAUGGAAGGGCCAUCGCUCAACGGAUAAAAGGUACUCCGGGGAUAACAGGCUGAUACCGCCCAAGAGUUCAUAUCGACGGCGGUGUUUGGCACCUCGAUGUCGGCUCAUCACAUCCUGGGGCUGAAGUAGGUCCCAAGGGUAUGGCUGUUCGCCAUUUAAAGUGGUACGCGAGCUGGGUUUAGAACGUCGUGAGACAGUUCGGUCCCUAUCUGCCGUGGGCGCUGGAGAACUGAGGGGGGCUGCUCCUAGUACGAGAGGACCGGAGUGGACGCAUCACUGGUGUUCGGGUUGUCAUGCCAAUGGCACUGCCCGGUAGCUAAAUGCGGAAGAGAUAAGUGCUGAAAGCAUCUAAGCACGAAACUUGCCCCGAGAUGAGUUCUCCCUGACUCCUUGAGAGUCCUGAAGGAACGUUGAAGACGACGACGUUGAUAGGCCGGGUGUGUAAGCGCAGCGAUGCGUUGAGCUAACCGGUACUAAUGAACCGUGAGGCUUAACCUU
RNAcentral lists this ribosomal RNA (2902 nucleotides) under Escherichia coli. RNAcentral describes it as "bacterial LSU rRNA". It matches the Rfam family "Bacterial large subunit ribosomal RNA". The record is from RNAcentral. Lineage: Bacteria; Pseudomonadati; Pseudomonadota; Gammaproteobacteria; Enterobacterales; Enterobacteriaceae.